UACGGAGGGUGCAAGCGUUGUCCGGAUUUAUUGGGUUUAAAGGGUGCGUAGGCGGCCUUAUAAGUCAGUGGUGAAACCCUUGGGCUUAACCCAAGGAGUGCCAUUGAUACUGUGAGGCUUGGGUUAUCUCUGGGCGGGCGGAAUGGAUGGUGUAGCGGUGAAAUGCAUAGAUAUCAACCAGAACGCCGACAGCGAAGGCAGCUCGCUGGGGAUAUACCGACGCUGAGGCACGAUAGCGUGGGGAUCAAACAGG
RNAcentral lists this ribosomal RNA (253 nucleotides) under uncultured bacterium. RNAcentral's name for it is "partial 16S ribosomal RNA". It matches the Rfam family "Bacterial small subunit ribosomal RNA", at positions 524 to 776 of the family's 1533-position model. The record is from RNAcentral.